AACGCACAUUGCGCCCGCCAGUAUUCUGGCGGGCAUGCCUGUUCGAGCGUCAUUUCAACCCUCAAGCCCUGCUUGGUGUUGGGGCCCUACGGCUACCGUAGGCCCUGAAAUCUAGUGGCGGGCUCGCUAUAACUCCGAGCGUAGUAGUAAUAUCUCGUUUAGGAAGUGUAGCGGGUGCUGGCCGUUAAACCCCCAAUUCUAGAAGGUUGACCUCGGAUCAGGUAGGAAUACCCGCUGAACUUAA
Molecule: unclassified non-coding RNA, 244 nt
Filed under: uncultured fungus
Lineage: Eukaryota; Fungi
Description: sequence contains ITS2
Rfam family: 5.8S ribosomal RNA (bases 1-52)
Source: RNAcentral